UGAAAUUUCAAGUUCCAUAACUUCUCUGAGGCAUCACUUUGCUACACACACCAAAAUCCAGUAUCACACUUCUGCGACGCACUCUCAAACUUCUUUCUACCAAAAUCAUACGCACCUAAAAUCUUUUUUCACCCAAAAUUUUAAGCAAGCAGACAGAAAAAUUUUCCAUCUUUCCUAGCGAGUUUCAAGCAAGCAUUUUUCAAGAAGGAGAAUUUCAAGCAGAAGCACUUCUAAAUAAACCUUUUAUCGUUCUUUUGAGGUCCAUCGCAAGGAAUUUAACUCCAAGUGGGUUAAUAUUGUCAUACGGAGUAAGAAGCAUACGAGGUUGAGCUGUGAUGGAGGGAAGGGUGCUAAUUAAACCAGACCUACUUAUAGUUCCAUUCAAUACUCUCGGAGGUUCGUGUCUUCAUACAUGGAACCGCGUUCAGUUCCUUCCGCUGUGCAUUAAAGCAAGUGAAAUUCUUUAUUUCUCUAAAGACUCUGAUAAUUAACCAGUAUAUUGUAUUGUCCCCGACUCGAGUCAUUGUGAUCGAGCCAUUCUAUUCAUGUAUUCAAUGUUUAUACUCUA
Salvia hispanica is the source of this 568-nucleotide non-coding RNA. Lineage: Eukaryota; Viridiplantae; Streptophyta; Magnoliopsida; Lamiales; Lamiaceae. The record is from RefSeq and is a predicted model, not a curated record.